Gossypium arboreum is the source of this 1452-nucleotide long non-coding RNA. RefSeq lists it as uncharacterized. The record is from RefSeq and is a predicted model, not a curated record. The transcript is spliced from 2 exons. Lineage: Eukaryota; Viridiplantae; Streptophyta; Magnoliopsida; Malvales; Malvaceae.
AAGAAGACACGAAUAAAUUUCAAGCAAAGUUAGGCAACCAUUGUGCUUCCAAUUUUGCUCAUUCUUGGUUGUGGUAUGGGAAUAUAGCCUAUUCGGUAUUGUAUGAUAACUUAUGUCAUGUUUGGUUGGGGGUGUAGGAAUAAGUUACAGCCCAAACCGGUGGACCCACUACUAAACCCAUGUUUGAUUUAUUGUAAAAGUUUAUUACAUCUGCUUUGAAAGCAGGUUUAUUCCAUGAAAAUGCUGAAUCCCUAAGCCCUUCACUCACAACUGAAUAACGAUUCAACACAGGUGAGACUUUCCCUUCUUCUUUUUUCCAUUUCCAAUUUACCCCUCAUCUUUCUGAAACCAUUCUCCCUACUCCCUUAUUUGCAACUGAAAGCUAAACCAAGAUAAUUAUGUUAGGUUUUUCACAAUCAAGUGUUUCUUCCCAAAAUUCUCGAGGAACCAAAAGGAAAUGGUUUCUAGAAGAAGAUGUUGCAUUGGUUGCCUAUAUGGUUGACUUGUACAAUGCUGGAACUUAUAACGAGAUACGGGAUUUAAGGCCGAUUAUUUAAAUGAGCUAGAAAAAAUGUUAGAAAAUUUUUUACCUCAUGCUAUAUUGAAGGCCAAACCUAAUCUUGAAUAGAUGAUUAGGUCAUUGAAAAGGGAUUAGACAACUCUUUACGACAUGCUUAGUGGAAAAGAAAAUAGCAGCUUUGGUUGGGACGAGCAUAGGCAGAUGGUUGUUGCUGAAGAUGCUGUGUGGAAUUCGUAUAUAAGUGUAAGAAUUAUUUUCUAUUUUUUAUUAUAUUGUUUUGACCAAACUUAUUUCUAAUGUGAAUUCUUUUUUUUUAUAGUCAUAAAGUAGUCGGUCAAUUCAGACAUUAUAGUUUCUCUUAUUAUGAUCAACUUACUUCUAUAUAUGCAAAAGAUUGAGCCAUUGGAAAAGAUGCUCAAACAGUUGCAGAUAUUAUUGAAGAAAUAGAUGCUGAGGGUGUAGCUACUGCAAAUAAUCUUGAUGAAGGAAACAAUUACCAGGGAUGCGAAGAUGAUGUUUCCUUGGAUGAUAUAGAUGUCUCAGCUACACAACCGCAACCGUCAAAGCCAAACCAAGAUAGUUCCACAUCUUCAAAGAAGAAAAAAAAAAAGAUUUAUGAUGGAAGUGAACAAAUUUCGACUUCAAUUACUGGUGCUGCUAUAUUUUUGGUGAAAAACAUAUGAACAAUUGGCCUUGAAAUUAAGUAGGAGCAUUGCCUCUGAGAAAGUGAUUUAAGAAAGUGUUCAAAAAUUAUAUUCAGUCUUAUGUGAAGUAGAAGGAAUAAUUGAGGAUAAGGGCUAUCGUGCGUUGAGCAAAAUCUCAAACCAUCCAACGCAAAUGCUAAUUUUUUUCAGUUUACUUUCUUCUGUGCAAUUGGAAUUGGUGAAAAGAUUUCUUAUUGAUCAUUAAAAAUUAUGGUUGUGUUGGUAAUA